UACGGACCGGACAAACGUUAUUCGGAAUCACUGGGCUUAAAGAGUACGUAGGCGGCUCAGAAAGUUGGAUGUGAAAUCCCUCGGCUCAACCGAGGAAUUGCGUUCAAAACUACUGAGCUUGAGGAAGGUAGGGGUGAGCGGAACUGAUGGUGGAGCGGUGAAAUGCGUUGAUAUCAUCAGGAACACCAGUGGCGAAGGCGGCUCACUGGGCCUUUUCUGACGCUGAGGUACGAAAGCUAGGGUAGCGAACGGG
RNAcentral lists this ribosomal RNA (253 nucleotides) under uncultured bacterium. Its description in RNAcentral is "partial 16S ribosomal RNA". It matches the Rfam family "Bacterial small subunit ribosomal RNA", at positions 524 to 776 of the family's 1533-position model. The record is from RNAcentral.